RNAcentral lists this small RNA (27 nucleotides) under Bombyx mori (domestic silkworm). Its description in RNAcentral is "ovarian small RNA-10681". The record is from RNAcentral. Lineage: Eukaryota; Metazoa; Arthropoda; Insecta; Lepidoptera; Bombycidae.
AAGUAUAUAAAGUUAUAAAGUCCUUAA